GGGCCCGCACAAGCGGUGGAGCAUGUGGUUUAAUUCGAUGAUACGCGAGGAACCUUACCAGGGCUUAAAUGUAAGUUGCAUAGAUCAGAGAUGGUCUUUUCUUCGGACUACUUACAAGGUGCUGCAUGGUUGUCGUCAGCUCGUGCCGUGAGGUGUCAGGUUAAGUCCUAUAACGAGCGCAACCCCUGUCGUUAGUUGCCAGCAAGUUAAGUUGGGCACUCUAGCGAGACUGCCAGUGCAAACUGUGAGGAAGGUGGGGAUGACGUCAAAUCAUCACGGCCCUUACGUCCUGGGCUACACACGUGCUACAAUGGCCGGUACAGAGAGCAGCCACUACGCGAGUAGGAGCGAAUCUAUAAAACCUAUCUCAGUUCGGAUCGGAGUCUGCAACUCGACUCCGUG
RNAcentral lists this ribosomal RNA (402 nucleotides) under uncultured bacterium. RNAcentral describes it as "bacterial SSU rRNA". It matches the Rfam family "Bacterial small subunit ribosomal RNA", at positions 917 to 1322 of the family's 1533-position model. The record is from RNAcentral.